This 570-nucleotide ribosomal RNA is filed under the name Triticum aestivum (bread wheat). RNAcentral describes it as "partial small subunit ribosomal RNA". The record is from RNAcentral. Lineage: Eukaryota; Viridiplantae; Streptophyta; Magnoliopsida; Poales; Poaceae.
AUGGUGAUCGCAUAUGAUAGUGGGACUGGGAAGAAGCACAAGCAUAAGCGGCGAACGGCUCCUAUCAUCGGAAGGCCGCCGGACCAAUGGAUUAAACCACCUACGGGCUGGAACAAGCUUAAUGUGGACUGUGCGUUUGCUAUGGAGGCGAGCACCGGAGGCGCUGGCAUGAUUCUCCGAGAUGAGAAUGGAGCAAUCAUCUUCGCGUCAAGCCGUCAUCUGCAUACUUGUCAUAGCUCACUUGAAGGGGAGCUGAUUGCGUGUAUGGAAGGCAUUUCACUGACAUAUGUGGGGAGCAGGAGCACGCAGCCGUUCAUCCUUGAAACAGAUUCUCAGGACGCAGCCAACAUGAUCAAGCAGCUGGAGAUCGAUCAAUCCCCGACGGCAUUCAUUACCGGUGAUAUCAAGAGUUUACUCGUGCGAGGUAGACACUUUUCUGUCGCUUGUAAUAAUGUUGCACAUCAUUUAGCCCAGAUAGGGCAUCAUCACAUGCGUACAGCAGUUUGGCUUAGAUCUGGACCAAAUGAGAUUGAUUUGCUACACCAACAUGAUUGUAAUUCUCAAGGUUAA